This 138-nucleotide microRNA precursor is filed under the name Lotus japonicus. RNAcentral describes it as "miR7516 stem-loop (lja-MIR7516)". The record is from miRBase by way of RNAcentral. Lineage: Eukaryota; Viridiplantae; Streptophyta; Magnoliopsida; Fabales; Fabaceae.
GCCGUUCAAUUUUGGUCGCGAGUAAAAUUGUAGCGGGUGUCUUCGCCUCUGAACCUUUGCCUAUUGUGCUGUUAACCAUUCUCAGCCUGGCUUCAGAGACGUGACUCCCGCUACGCAUUUGCUCGCCAUCUCUGCUGC